This 513-nucleotide ribosomal RNA is filed under the name uncultured Glomus. RNAcentral describes it as "SSU rRNA". It matches the Rfam family "Eukaryotic small subunit ribosomal RNA", at positions 581 to 1100 of the family's 1831-position model. The record is from RNAcentral. Lineage: Eukaryota; Fungi; Glomeromycota; Glomeromycetes; Glomerales; Glomeraceae.
UAUUCCGCUCCAUAGCGUAUAUUAAAGUUGUUGCAGUUAAAAAGCUCGUAGUUGAAUUUCGGGAUCNGUAUGUUGGUCGUGCUUCGGUACGUACUGUCAUUACUGAUUUCUCCCUUCUGAAGAACCUUGAUGUCAUUAAUUUGGUGUCUUGGGGAAUCAGGACUGUUACUUUGAAAAAAUUAGAGUGUUUAAAGCAGGCAUACGCUUGAAUACAUUAGCAUGGAAUAAUGAAAUAGGACGUUUGAUUCUAUUUUGUUGGUUUCUAGGAUCGACGUAAUGAUUAAUAGGGAUAGUUGGGGGCAUUAGUAUUCAAUUGUCAGAGGUGAAAUUCUUGGAUUUAUUGAAGACUAACUACUGCGAAAGCAUUUGCCAAGGAUGUUUUCAUUAAUCAAGAACGAAAGUUAGGGGAUCGAAGACGAUCAGAUACCGUCGUAGUCUUAACCAUAAACUAUGCCGACUAGGAAUCGGAUGAUGUUAUUUUUAAUGACUCAUUCGGCACCUUACGGGAAAACA